GACGAACGCUGGCGGCGUGCCUAAUACAUGCAAGUAGAACGCACAGUUUAUACCGUAGCUUGCUACACCAUAAACUGUGAGUUGCGAACGGGUGAGUAACGCGUAGGUAACCUGCCUGGUAGCGGGGGAUAACUAUUGGAAACGAUAGCUAAUACCGCAUAAUAUUGAUUAUUGCAUGAUAAUUGAUUGAAAGAUGCUAUUGCAUCACUACCAGAUGGACCUGCGUUGUAUUAGCUAGUAGGUGAGGUAACGGCUCACCUAGGCGACGAUACAUAGCCGACCUGAGAGGGUGAUCGGCCACACUGGGACUGAGACACGGCCCAGACUCCUACGGGAGGCAGCAGUAGGGAAUCUUCGGCAAUGGACGAAAGUCUGACCGAGCAACGCCGCGUGAGUGAAGAAGGUUUUCGGAUCGUAAAGCUCUGUUGUAAGAGAAGAACGGGUGU
This 446-nucleotide ribosomal RNA is filed under the name Streptococcus sp. oral taxon H24. Its description in RNAcentral is "bacterial SSU rRNA". It matches the Rfam family "Bacterial small subunit ribosomal RNA", at positions 28 to 456 of the family's 1533-position model. Lineage: Bacteria; Bacillati; Bacillota; Bacilli; Lactobacillales; Streptococcaceae. The record is from RNAcentral.